AGUUGCAGGCCAUGGUUGACCAGGCCAUNNCCAUGUAAAACAGGGUCAAAAACAAAAAAGCCAACUCAAAUGAGAUGGCCUGGGCUCACGCUUAAGUGAGCCUCGCUGCCGGACGUCUCUCUGCAACGUCCGGUGAGCGUCAAAACGCAGGGUGCUGUUCCGGCGUCGCGCUUCGUACGCCGGGGCAAAAGACCACACGGAGCUUUGGAUCGGUUUUGUCGUCCUGAACUGAGGCCGAUCCGAGACAAAAUCAGGGCUAAGCCUGUAGCGGCU
Molecule: transfer-messenger RNA, 273 nt
Filed under: Elusimicrobiota bacterium
Lineage: Bacteria; Pseudomonadati; Elusimicrobiota
Description: Elusimicrobia bacterium (groundwater metagenome) transfer-messenger RNA
Rfam family: transfer-messenger RNA
About the family: Bacterial tmRNA, also known as 10Sa RNA or SsrA, is named for its dual tRNA and mRNA-like properties. Its role is to liberate the mRNA from a stalled ribosome.
Source: RNAcentral